GCAGCCGGGCGGUCCGUCGCCGGCGGGUUACACGUAACGCCGCCUGAGGAAAGUCCGGGCAACAGAGAGCGCCAUACUUCCUAACGGGAAGCCGCGGGUGACCGUGGAGGAAACGUGACAGAAAACAACCGCCUGCGGGGCUUGUCCCGGCAGGUAAGGGUGAAAAGGCGGGGUAAGAGCCCACCGGGCGUCACCGCGAGAUGACGCGCCGCACGUCUUAUGGGUUGCAAGGUCAAGUAAACCGGCAUUUAAGGGUUGCUCGCCCGUUGCCGGAGGGUAGACUGCUACGGGAGAUGUCACAGACAACUCCGAUUAGCCGCGAUGGAGACAUCAGGCACAGAUAAAUGACGGACCGGACGCGUCAGGUCGGCAAUCCUCCGGGGUUGCCGAAACCCACGAUCCGACAGAACCCGGCUUAUAGCCCGACUGCCUCU
Molecule: RNase P RNA, 434 nt
Filed under: Muribaculaceae bacterium
Lineage: Bacteria; Pseudomonadati; Bacteroidota; Bacteroidia; Bacteroidales; Muribaculaceae
Description: RNase P RNA component class A
Rfam family: Bacterial RNase P class A
About the family: Ribonuclease P (RNase P) is a ubiquitous endoribonuclease, found in archaea, bacteria and eukarya as well as chloroplasts and mitochondria. Its best characterised activity is the generation of mature 5'-ends of tRNAs by cleaving the 5'-leader elements of precursor-tRNAs. Cellular RNase Ps are ribonucleoproteins.
Source: RNAcentral